UACGGAGGGGGCUAGCGUUUGUUCGGAAUUACUGGGCGUAAAGCGCACGUAGGCGGCUUUGUAAGUUAGAGGUGAAAGCCCGGGGCUCAACUCCGGAAUUGCCUUUAAGACUGCAUCGCUAGAAUUGUGGAGAGGUAAGUGGAAUUCCGAGUGUAGAGGUGAAAUUCGUAGAUAUUCGGAAGAACACCAGUGGCGAAGGCGACUUACUGGACACAUAUUGACGCUGAGGUGCGAAAGCGUGGGGAGCAAACAGG
This 254-nucleotide ribosomal RNA is filed under the name uncultured bacterium. RNAcentral describes it as "partial 16S ribosomal RNA". It matches the Rfam family "Bacterial small subunit ribosomal RNA", at positions 524 to 776 of the family's 1533-position model. The record is from RNAcentral.